AAAAACGUCCCCACUUCCUUCUCCUAAUCCUCCAAAGUCCCCUCCAACAGAUAAGGGGGGAAAAAAAAAAAGAAAAAAGCAAGUUAGCACAGUCAGACCAGCCUGCUGGGAAAAAGCUUUGGCUAUGCUGUUCAAACCCUGAGAAGUGUUACACGACUGGAUCAGGAAAUAACUGCUUGCUGAUAGACGAAAGUCCCAUUGCUUUUCUGUAGAGCCUGCUCUUUUAGUUUUGCUGAAGGGGCUCAGGAGCCAAGCAUGUUUUAUAGGCUUGCGAGUUGCCAGCGUCAUGCAGGGACUGAAGCGAUGAGCAUCAUCGGCUGCAUUAACCUUGUUGCUUGAAAAGCUGUUUGCAUAUCCAUCUGACACUGAUUUCCAUGUUUAACCAGCCGACAUGGUGCCAAGAAGCAGCUCCUCAUUCCAGGCCUAGGAGUUCUGUGGACAUCUGACCUUUGCUACAGCAUUUUCUAGAACCUGUCGGCAAGUGGCAGGUCCUYGUCAUAGAUAACUAAUCCUAUAAUUCAUUGGAGUGAAUCUCACACUUUCUUGUUUUGAAUCCUUCAUCUUCGAUCAG
This is a long non-coding RNA of Nothoprocta perdicaria, 571 nucleotides long. RefSeq lists it as uncharacterized. The transcript is spliced from 3 exons. Lineage: Eukaryota; Metazoa; Chordata; Aves; Tinamiformes; Tinamidae. The record is from RefSeq and is a predicted model, not a curated record.